UACGUAGGGGGCAAGCGUUGUCCGGAUUUAUUGGGCGUAAAGAGCGUGUAGGCGGCCAAGCAGGUCAGCUGUGAAAACUCGAGGCUCAACCUCGAGACGUCGGUUGAAACCGCUUGGCUAGAGUCCGGAAGAGGAGAGUGGAAUUCCCGGUGUAGCGGUGAAAUGCGCAGAUAUCGGGAAGAACACCCGUGGCGAAGGCGGCUCUCUGGGACGGUACUGACGCUGAGACGCGAAAGCGUGGGGAGCGAACGAGGA
Molecule: ribosomal RNA, 255 nt
Filed under: uncultured bacterium
Lineage: Bacteria
Description: partial 16S ribosomal RNA
Rfam family: Bacterial small subunit ribosomal RNA
Source: RNAcentral